Molecule: small nucleolar RNA, 132 nt
Organism: Rattus norvegicus (Norway rat)
Lineage: Eukaryota; Metazoa; Chordata; Mammalia; Rodentia; Muridae
Product: small nucleolar RNA SNORA17
Source: Ensembl
CCUUCCCUGAGAGGUGUGGCAGGUGUGGCUGCUCUGUCCUGUGCAUCAGUAGGUGGCAGAGAGGAAAGAGGCCAUAUCUACCCUCAUCGUUCUCUGUCCUGUGAGCAUCUUAAUGAUUAGUAGCCUAGCACU